Molecule: ribosomal RNA, 492 nt
Filed under: uncultured bacterium
Lineage: Bacteria
Description: partial 16S ribosomal RNA
Rfam family: Bacterial small subunit ribosomal RNA
Source: RNAcentral
AGUGAACGCUGGCGGUAGGCCUAACACAUGCAAGUCGAACGGCAGCACAGUAAGAGCUUGCUCUUACGGGUGGCGAGUGGCGGACGGGUGAGGAAUACAUCGGAAUCUACUUUUUCGUGGGGGAUAACGUAGGGAAACUUACGCUAAUACCGCAUACGACCUACGGGUGAAAGCAGGGGAUCUUCGGACCUUGCGCGAUUGAAUGAGCCGAUGUCGGAUUAGCUAGUUGGCGGGGUAAAGGCCCACCAAGGCGACGAUCCGUAGCUGGUCUGAGAGGAUGAUCAGCCACACUGGAACUGAGACACGGUCCAGACUCCUACGGGAGGCAGCAGUGGGGAAUAUUGGACAAUGGGCGCAGGCCUGAGCCAGCCAUACCGCGUGGGUGAAGAAGGCCUUCGGGUUGUAAAGCCCUUUUGUUGGGAAAGAAAAGCAGCAGGUUAAUACCCCGCUGUUCUGACGGUACCCAAAGAAUAAGCACCGGCUAACUUCGUG